UUCUGCUUCUGUUUAUUGUUUAUAUAUGGGCCAUUCUACAGAAUUUGUGCAAAGUCCAGAGUUGGAAACAUAUUUUAAAAAGAUGUUUUUUUCCAAAAACCUCGUCCAUACAUAUAUUGCACCAUAUUUCUAUGGUACAUAUCUAGUAAAGGUGCAGUCAAAUUUCAUAUAUUAAUGUCUGUCUGUUCUUGAAAUGUUUUUCCACUCCUGAAAGGUGUCACUACCGUAACAUAGAAACACACUGCAAUAAAAAUCAUUAUAUUAAUCUGUUAAU
Long non-coding RNA from Melanotaenia boesemani (Boeseman's rainbowfish), 274 nucleotides. RefSeq lists it as uncharacterized. The record is from RefSeq and is a predicted model, not a curated record. The transcript has 4 exons. NCBI's taxonomy places the organism in Eukaryota, Metazoa, Chordata, Actinopteri, Atheriniformes, Melanotaeniidae.